Crotalus tigris (Tiger rattlesnake) is the source of this 488-nucleotide long non-coding RNA. RefSeq lists it as uncharacterized. The record is from RefSeq and is a predicted model, not a curated record. The transcript is spliced from 2 exons. NCBI's taxonomy places the organism in Eukaryota, Metazoa, Chordata, Lepidosauria, Squamata, Viperidae.
CAGCCGCAAGGAAUCGUUCCGCCCAUCUGGUCAUGCGCGAAGUCCUUCUGGCUGCAACACUGCUCUCCUACCUGCGUCUCUCGCUUCAGGUAGGCCAGCGUAGGACGAUAGAAUUGUAGGCUGCUUCUCGGAAAAUUCCUCUUCAUCAUCAUUGUCCAGGAUUUGUAUUGCAGAAUCCUUAUCCGUAAGAGUUUCAAGUUUCAACCUGCGAACAGCAAUACAAUAUCAGAAAUGUAUUCUUCUCUGAAGUGAACUAAGACACUCAACUCUCUCAUAAUAAUUUCUUUAUCAUGCUGGAUGUUUGGGAAAAAAAGGCGCUACUUAAUGCUCAGACAAUUCAUGUUAUUAGGGUUCUAGCAACUACCUCUUACAAGCUGUAUUCCUCAGGGGAGAACAGUAGAGUAAGACAGAGUGGUGAGAAAAUUACAACCUUGGUAUUGUUCUGCUGUGUAUACUUCUCUGUGUAAAUAAAUGGAAGUCAAGCGUUA